AACGAACGCUGGCGGCAUGCCUAACACAUGCAAGUCGAACGAGACCUUCGGGUCUAUGUGCGGACGGCUGCGUAACGCAUGGUAACCUGCCCUUAAGUUCGGAAUAACUCCCCGAAAGGGGUGCUAAUACCGGAUAAUGUCUUCGGACCAAAGAUUGUUGGCCUCUGGCUGGGCCCGCGUUGGAUUAGCUGGUUGGUAGGGUAAAAGCCUACCAAGGCGACGAUCCAUGGCUGGUCGGGGAGCAUGCUCAGCCACACUUGAACUGAGACACGGCCCCGAACGCUACGGGGGGGAGGAGUAGGGUACAUUAGGGGAGGGGCGCAGGUCUGACCACGCAACGCCGGGUGAGUGAUGAAGCGCUUAGUGUUCUAAAGCCGUUUUACCCGGGAUGAUAAUGACAGUACCGGGUGAAUAAGCACCGGCUAACUACGUG
This 433-nucleotide ribosomal RNA is filed under the name uncultured bacterium. Its description in RNAcentral is "partial 16S ribosomal RNA". It matches the Rfam family "Bacterial small subunit ribosomal RNA", at positions 29 to 507 of the family's 1533-position model. The record is from RNAcentral.